AUGCAAGUCGAACGGUAACGGUCCUUCGGGAGCCGACGAGUGGCGGACGGGUGAGUAACGCGUAGGAAUCUGCCUGGUAGUGGGGGACAACGUGGGGAAACUCACGCUAAUACCGCAUACGCCCUACGGGGGAAAGCGGGGGAUCUUUGGACCUCGCGCUAUCAGAUGAGCCUGCGUUGGAUUAGCUAGUUGGUGGGGUAAAGGCCUACCAAGGCGACGAUCCAUAGCUGGUCUGAGAGGACGAUCAGCCACACUGGGACUGAGACACGGCCCAGACUCCUACGGGAGGCAGCAGUGGGGAAUAUUGGACAAUGGGGGCAACCCUGAUCCAGCAAUACCGCGUGUGUGAAGAAGGCCUGAGGGUUGUAAAGCACUUUCAAUAGGGAGGAAAAAGCGUUGGUUAAUACCCGAUGCCUUGACAUUACCUAUAGAAGAAGCACCGGCUAACUCCGUGCCAGCAGCCGCGGUAAUACGGAGGGUGCGAGCGUUAAUCGGAAUUACUGGGCGUAAAGCGUGCGUAGGCGGCUGUUUAAGUCAGAUGUG
RNAcentral lists this ribosomal RNA (543 nucleotides) under uncultured bacterium. RNAcentral's name for it is "bacterial SSU rRNA". It matches the Rfam family "Bacterial small subunit ribosomal RNA", at positions 55 to 596 of the family's 1533-position model. The record is from RNAcentral.